AAAGUUUUAAUCCAAACACAGACAUCUUCAGCAAUUAGUAACAAGAGCAAGAGGAAACAUUUCUUAUUAAGCACAAGCUAAACAGAUUUUUGAUUAACCGUUCCCAUUUCUGUCAGCCAUGCAAACUGGCACAGGCCCACAGGCCCAGGGCCUGGAAGUAAGUAGGCCAGCCUAGUAGAAAUCAGGUUACUAGCCAGAAAGGAUUUUAAUAAAAUUGGAGAGUACAGGCCUGCUUCUUCAGACUGACAUCAACAGAUGGGACGUUGUUAAAAUACUGAGACGUGUGGGAAGGCCUGGGAAACAUUGUUUUGCAGGCUGAUAACUUCUGUGUGUAUGUUUUAAAAAUUUAUUACUAAGGCUGGAUUAUAUUUUUCAUUGGCGCUGAAGUGACAUUCUAAAAGAACAGCUAGGUCUUCUCAGAAAUGUCUAAGUGACAUAAACACUGCCUUUUUGUUCUGUAAAAAUCUACCGUGAAGAUGGUUUUAAAUGACUUAAUUGUCCACCUUUGGUACUUUCUUGCCUGAAAGGAAGCAGGUGGUGGUGAGAAGAAGCUGGAAAUGUUUCCCUAGGUGCUUAGCCUCCAAGGAAAGACUCACAGAAGAACAGGAGGGAAAAACCUGCCCAGCAUGUAUGAUGAUCGGCAGAGCCCCAGUUACACGGGGCUUGUCUUUGGAACACUGACAGAGCCAUGGAAUGUCAGCACUGAUGAGCCUUUGACAACUGUCUCUGUGUUGGUGCGGAACAAACAUUUGAAAUUGGAUAGGCUGCAGGUGAAUCCUUCCUCUGGCAGUUUAGGACAGGAUUGUGAUAAAACUUUGACACAUGCUCAUAAUUAAAGAAAAGUUUUCGGGACUUCCCUGGUGGCGCAAUGGUUAAGAAUCCGCCUGCCAAUGCAGGGAACACAGGUUCGAGCCCUGGUCUGGGAAGAUCCCAUGUGCCGCAAAGCAACUAAGCCCGCGCACCACAACUACUGAGCCUGCGCUCUAGAGCCCACAAGCCACAACUACUGAGUCCACGUGCCACAACUAUUGAGCCCGCGCACCUACAGCCCGUGCUCCGCUACAAGAGAAGCCACCACAAUGAGAAGCCCGCACACCGCAACGAAGAGUAGUCCCCGCUUGCCGCAACUACAGAAAGCCUGUGCCCAGCAACGAA
Kogia breviceps (pygmy sperm whale) is the source of this 1155-nucleotide non-coding RNA. Lineage: Eukaryota; Metazoa; Chordata; Mammalia; Artiodactyla; Physeteridae. The record is from RefSeq and is a predicted model, not a curated record.